GAUGAACGCUGGCGGCGUGCCUAAUACAUGCAAGUCGAGCGAACAGAUGAGGAGCUUGCUCCUCUGACGUUAGCGGCGGACGGGUGAGUAACACGUGGAUAACCUACCUAUAAGACUGGGAUAACUUCGGGAAACCGGAGCUAAUACCGGAUAAUAUAUUGAACCGCAUGGUUCAAUAGUGAAAGACGGUUUUGCUGUCACUUAUAGAUGGAUCCGCGCCGCAUUAGCUAGUUGGUAAGGUAACGGCUUACCAAGGCAACGAUGCGUAGCCGACCUGAGAGGGUGAUCGGCCACACUGGACCUGAGACACGGUCCAGACUCCUACGGGAGGCAGCAGUAGGGAAUCUUCCGCAAUGGGCGAAAGCUUGACGGAGCAACGCCGCGUGAGUGAUGAAGGUCUUCGGAUCGUAAAACUCUGUUAUUAGGGAAGAACAAAUGUGUAAGUAACUAUGCACGUCUUGACGGUACCUAAUCAGAAAGCCACGGCUAACUACGU
This 496-nucleotide ribosomal RNA is filed under the name uncultured bacterium. RNAcentral's name for it is "partial 16S ribosomal RNA". It matches the Rfam family "Bacterial small subunit ribosomal RNA", at positions 28 to 506 of the family's 1533-position model. The record is from RNAcentral.